GAGAACGAUGAUCCGGGAGGUUGCACGGAACACGGGAGCUCAUGCUGCUGAGACCGUGGGAAUUUCCGGGGAGCGAAUGUCCAGUUCACGAAACUGACGGCAA
Molecule: non-coding RNA, 103 nt
Filed under: bovine gut metagenome
Also listed under: 1 other name
Description: S10-Clostridia ribosomal protein leader
Rfam family: S10-Clostridia ribosomal protein leader
Source: RNAcentral